This 66-nucleotide ribosomal RNA is filed under the name Lasiodiplodia pseudotheobromae. Its description in RNAcentral is "partial 28S ribosomal RNA". The stretch from base 8 to 66 matches the Rfam family "Eukaryotic large subunit ribosomal RNA", at positions 1 to 59 of the family's 3401-position model. Lineage: Eukaryota; Fungi; Ascomycota; Dothideomycetes; Botryosphaeriales; Botryosphaeriaceae. The record is from RNAcentral.
UCAAGGUUGACCUCGGAUCAGGUAGGGAUACCCGCUGAACUUAAGCAUAUCAAUAAGCGGAGGAAG